Molecule: ribosomal RNA, 748 nt
Filed under: Golovinomyces monardae
Lineage: Eukaryota; Fungi; Ascomycota; Leotiomycetes; Helotiales; Erysiphaceae
Description: eukaryotic LSU rRNA
Rfam family: Eukaryotic large subunit ribosomal RNA
Source: RNAcentral
UUGACCUCGAAUCAGGUAGGGAUACCCGCUGAACUUAAGCAUAUCAAUAAGCGGAGGAAAAGAAACCAACCGGGAUUACCUCAGUAACGGCGAGUGAAGCGGUAACAGCUCAAAUUUGAAAUCUGGCUCCUGCGGAGUCCGAGUUGUAAUUUGUAGAAGAUGCUUUGGGAGGUAGGGCCGGCCUAAGUUCCUUGGAACAGGACAUCAGAGAGGGUGAGAAUCCCGUAUGCGGCCGCGGCCUACGCCCGUGUAAAGCUCUUUCGACGAGUCGAGUUGUUUGGGAAUGCAGCUCAAAAUGGGUGGUAAAUUUCAUCUAAAGCUAAAUAUUGGCCAGAGACCGAUAGCGCACAAGUAGAGUGAUCGAAAGAUGAAAAGCACUUUGGAAAGAGAGUUAAACAGUACGUGAAAUUGUUGAAAGGGAAGCGCUUGCACCCAGACUUGGGCGUCGUCGAUCAUCCGAGGUUCUCCUCGGUGCACUCGACGAUGCACAGGCCAGCAUCGGUUUGGGUGGUUGGAGAAAGGCUCUAGGAACGUAGCUCUCUUCGGGGAGUGUUAUAGCCUAGGGCGUAAUGCAGCCCAUCCGGACCGAGGACCGCGCCUUCGGGCUAGGAUGCUGGCGUAAUGGUUGCAAGCGACCCGUCUUGAAACACGGACCAAGGAGUCUAACAUCUAUGCGAGUGUUUGGGCGUUAAACCCAUACGCGGAAUGAAAGUGAACGUAGGUGAGAACCCGUUAGGGUGCAUCAUCG